Molecule: ribosomal RNA, 253 nt
Filed under: uncultured bacterium
Lineage: Bacteria
Description: partial 16S ribosomal RNA
Rfam family: Bacterial small subunit ribosomal RNA
Source: RNAcentral
UACAGAGGGUGCGAGCGUUGUCCGGAAUCACUGGGCGUAAAGGGCGCGUAGGUGGUUGGGUAAGCGUGUGGUGAAAGCCCGGGGCUCAACCCCGGGUCGGCCAUGCGAACUGCCCGACUGGAGCACGGUAGAGGCCAAUGGAAUUCCGGGUGUAGCGGUGGAAUGCGUAGAGAUCCGGAAGAACACCGGUGGCGAAGGCGGUUGGCUGGGCCGUGGCUGACACUGAGGCGCGACAGCGUGGGGAGCAAACAGG